UAAAAUAAAUUAUAUGUCUCGGAGAAUUUUGGUUCCGGCCGCUAGAUUUUAGUUCCGCCGAUUUGUUUCCCGGUGGGACCCAUUUUGCUGUAACACCCACAAGCUGUUUUCUCAACCUCUCUGAAACGAACGUGCCUCGUGUAGCAGCAACUGGUGGAGGAGUCAGUCGAAGUCAUGUCCACACAACCUACCCAUGAACCAGGGCCGUGAGAUUUGGAGUCAUUGAUCCAGUAACACAACCCACUCAAGGCACUUCGCAAGAUGCCAACAGACGAUGCCAACAGACGAGGCAGCCGAACACCAACCCUGGGUUCAGUGGGCCCCCUGCAGACAUAUCCAGAUCAAGAUCAGACCCACCUACCCAACCCCAGCUGAAAGAGUACCCAAGAACAGCCUUCGGUGCAAGACAAAGAAAUUUCAGUCCUUCGUGGUAUGGUCUGUACACAUGGAUUGAAUACUCCCAGUCCAAGGACGCUGUUUAUUGUUACGCCUGUAGGCACUUUAGCCUUCCCAACGUAGACACUACUUUCACAGUACUUUCUUUUUACUGCAGA
Scatophagus argus is the source of this 554-nucleotide long non-coding RNA. RefSeq lists it as uncharacterized. The transcript has 4 exons. Lineage: Eukaryota; Metazoa; Chordata; Actinopteri; Scatophagidae. The record is from RefSeq and is a predicted model, not a curated record.